GUUGCUGUACCAACUAAUAUUAAAUUCGAACGAGCCCUGGAGGAGCUUGCCUCUGCUGUCGAGCUGUGAGAGAAAGCCUGAUGUGGUGACUGAGAAUCGAGUUACCAACUCAUUUAAAAACUCUUAAAGAUCAGAACAAAGUUCUCGAGGCAAUGCUGGUAGUUGCGACAAAGAUGAUUUCAUCUCCAGGCAAGACAAGAGGAAAUUUCGGCUUUAUGCGCCUAGUGUUGGAGUCUCUAAACCCCUCCAUCGCUUGGGUUGCGUCAUUGCCACUGGUCCAGCCGUUGACAGACAGCUACGUCCUUAUUCCAGGUUGCUGGUUUACACAGUGAAAAGGUUUCAUAUAACUACUACCACAUCAGAACUCCCAAUUUUUGAAGUCAUCCCUAUCAAUUCUCUCCACAACUCGUUUGGAUGCGAUUGCGUGAAUGUUGGGGACUGGGGAACAAGAAAAAGACGUGUCAGGCAUUAGUCUCAUGCGGCUGUGCCACGUGGCUUGAUUAAGUGCGAGCUUCGCGUGUUAUCAAGCC
This is a long non-coding RNA of Eucalyptus grandis, 530 nucleotides long. RefSeq lists it as uncharacterized. The transcript has 3 exons. The record is from RefSeq and is a predicted model, not a curated record. NCBI's taxonomy places the organism in Eukaryota, Viridiplantae, Streptophyta, Magnoliopsida, Myrtales, Myrtaceae.